This 4955-nucleotide long non-coding RNA is filed under the name Citrus x clementina. RNAcentral describes it as "Citrus clementina (C. clementina) long non-coding RNA (CCLE_LNC002351)". The record is from RNAcentral. Lineage: Eukaryota; Viridiplantae; Streptophyta; Magnoliopsida; Sapindales; Rutaceae.
UGUUGAGAAGUCAAUAUUAGCCCAAAUAAGUCCACACCUAAAUUAAUUUGAUGUCAUUGCUUACAUCAAUUUAGUUAGGUGAAUAUUAGCCCAAAUAAGUCCACACCUAAAUUAAUUUGAUGUCAUUGCUUACAUCAAUUUAGUUAGGUGAAAAUUAGGUAUUUUUCCCAUGUUUAAUUUCAAUGGUUUAAAUUAGUUUGUGGUUAUUUUAAUGAGUGGUUUAGAUUGUUUCUUGUAACCUAUAAAUACCUCAUUUGUAUUUGAGUUUUAUUAUUCAACAAUAAAAAGCUUUAUUAUAAGCAUUUGAAAGCUUUCUUAAGAGUUCUUCUCUUUUUGCAAUUUUGUGAGAUUAUUCUAAAGAGAGUUUUUCUUCUUCUUGAUCAAUUAGAGUUUUUACUCUAUUUUGAUUCAACAUUUGGUAUCAGAGCAUUGGUUGUAAAGUCUCUUGAAAUUCCGAGUAUGCUCUGUGGUUGCAGUUUUGACUGAUCUUCCACAUCAGAAAAGAUUUCUUGAGAUUAUUGCUGGGGUUAUCACAAACCUUGAGAGGGAGCUUCUUUGUGUCAAGAGUAGUGUAUUAUUCUGCACGGUAGUCACUCAAGAUUGUUCGGUGUAGUCAAAGUCUUGUCGAUACGAUGGGUGAUCUUCAAGUUGUUGGAGGAAUCAAGAAGCUCAACAACCAAAACUAUAACACGUGGGCAACGUGUAUAGAAUCUUACCUUCAAGGUCAAGACUUGUGGGAGGUUGUCGGUGGUAGUGAAGUUACACAACCGGCAGCGGAAGAUGCUAACGGCGUCUUGCGGAAGUGGAAAAUUAAAGCAGGCAAAGCAAUGUUUGCUUUAAAGACCACAAUAGAAGAAGAAAUGUUGGAGCACAUUCGGGAUGCUAAAUCACCGAAGGAAGCGUGGGACACCUUCGCUACACUCUUUUCGAAGAGGAACGAUACAAAAUUGCAACUUCUCGAGAAUGAACUUCUAUCAAUGGUGCAACGCGACAUGGCGGUUGCCCAAUACUUUCACAAGGUGAAGUCGAUAUGCCGUGAAAUUUCAGAAUUAGAUCCGACAGCUGCUAUUGGGGAAGCCAGGAUAAAAAGAAUAAUUGUCCAUGGCUUGAGACCCGAAUACCGAAGCUUUGUAGCCGCUGUACAAGGAUGGCCGACACAACCAUCACUUGUUGAGUUUGAAAAUUUGCUGACAGGCCAAGAAACUAUGGCCAAGAAAAUGGGAGGAGUCUCACUAAAGGGUGAAGAGGAAGCGCUUUACACCAACCAAAGCAGAGGUGGUUCAAGACAGCACAACAAAGGCGGAUCUAGAAAGACUGGUGAACAGACAAAAAGUCAUCAGGGAGGGAAUGGCUCUCGUCCAGGGGGAGCUUCGAAGAAUCGUGACAGUAAUAGAAAGUUCGAUGGCGAAUGUUACAAUUGCGGGAAGAAGGGCCACAUGAAGAGAGAUUGUUGGUCCAAAAAGAAGUCUACCGAAAGCAAUAUUGCUACUUCUAGUUCUAAAGAAGAUAGUGAAGAUAGCUGGGAUGCCGAAGCAUUACUCGCUAUGGAGGAAGAAGAAUUAGCUCUCACGGUAACAACACCAGAAAAGAUUAACUACGAGAAUGAUUGGAUCGUAGACUCAGGCUGCUCAAAUCACAUGACGGGUGAUAGACAGAAGUUGCAAAACUGUUCUGAGUACAAGGGAAAUCGUGUGGUGGUAACAGCUGACAACUCAAGGUUACCGAUAGCUCACAUCGGUAAAGCGAUCGUUACACCUCGAUAUAGUCCCAACCAAGUGCCACUUCAAGAUGUCUACCAUGUUCCAGGAAUGAAGAAAAAUUUGCUAUCCGUAGCUCAAUUGACAUCAUCAGGCCACUAUGUCUUGUUUGGUCCACAAAAUGUGAAGGUAUUUCGAGACCUGAAGAUCUCAGAAAACCCUACGAUGGAGGGACGACGAUUGGAGUCAGUUUAUGUGAUGUCAGCUGAGUCUGCAUACGUAGACAAGACAAGAAGGAAUGAGACGGCAGAUCUGUGGCACAUGCGGCUAGGUCAUGUUAGUUAUUCCAAGCUAAGUGUGAUGGUGAAGAAGUCGAUGCUUAAGGGACUUCCACAACUUGACGUGAGAACAAAUACUGUUUGCGCGGGAUGUCAAUAUGGUAAAGCACAUCAAUUGCCAUACGAGGAGUCGAAGUUUAAAGCAAAGAAACCAUUAGAGUUAAUUCACUCUGAUGUGUUUGGACCAGUUAAGCAACCAUCAAUUGGCGGAAUGCGGUAUAUGGUUACGUUCAUUGAUGAUUUCUCCAGAUAUGUAUGGGCUUUCUUCAUGAAAGAAAAAUCUGAAGCAUUCUCAAAGUUCAAAGAGUUCAAAGAGAUAGUCGAAGGAGAAGUGGAGCAAAAGAUUCGUUGCUUGCGCACAGACAACGGGGGUGAGUAUAGCUCGAGAGAGUUUUCUCAAUACCUACGGGAAUGCCAAAUACGUCAUCAGUAUACUUGUGCCAAUACGCCACAACAAAAUGGUGUAGCAGAGAGGAAGAAUCGGCACCUUGCUGAAAUUUGCCGGAGUAUGCUACAUGCGAAGAAUGUACCUGGAAGAUUUUGGGCCGAAGGUAUGAGAACUGCAGCUCAUGUCAUCAACAAGCUUCCUCAACCAAGGUUGGAGUUUGUUUCACCCUUUGAGAAAUUGUGGAACAAGAAACCUACAGUUAGCUAUUUUCGAGUAUUCGGUUGUGUAUGCUAUGUAUUUGUUCCUGACCAUCUACGUAGCAAGAUCGAUAAGAAAGCAGUCAGAUGUAUCUUUGUGGGAUACGACAAUCAGCGAAAAGGGUGGAAGUGUUGUGAUCCAGUAGAUGGAAGGUGCUACACAUCACGAGAUGUGGUGUUUGAUGAAGCAUCCUCAUGGUGGACCUCAGAAAAAGAAGUGCUGCCAGACUCGAAAGAAUUCGGAGACAUGCUACAACAAAAGAUGGGGGAGCAUACUGUCCAAAUUCAUCUAAGCUCAGCUGGGGAUCUAUGCGAUAGUGAUAGCGAACGAAGAGUAACUCUAAAUCCUUGGCAAUCUGGGGUGUAUCGACAACCAGAUGAAGAAGGUGUGCCUAGUGAAACAGAAGAAUCAACUCCAUUACGAAGGUCAACAAGAACCCGAAGGCCAAAUCCCAAAUACGCUAAUGCAGCCAUAGUUGAAGAAGCAACUGGAAUAGAACCUGAGACGUUCGAAGAAGCGUCACAGAGUUCUGAGUGGAUGACAGCUAUGAAAGACGAGAUCACUGCACUUGAGCAAAAUCAGACCUGGGAACUCGUGCCAAAGCCAAAAGAUGUGAAACCCAUAUCCUGCAGAUGGGUUUACAAAAUAAAGCACUGUCCAGAUGGGUCAAUCGAGAGGUACAAGGCUCGAUUGGUAGCUCGUGGUUUCUCUCAACAAUAUGGACUAGAUUAUGACGAAACGUUUAGUCCAGUGGCAAAACUUACAACCGUCCGAGUCUUACUUGCACUUGCAGCCAACAAAAGCUGGAACUUGUGGCAGAUGGACGUGAAGAAUGCCUUUCUCCAUGGAGAGCUGGAUAGAGAGAUCUACAUGAUUCAACCGAUGGGUUUUCAGAACCGAGGUCACCCUGAGUAUGUGUGUAAACUGCGAAAGGCUCUCUACGGACUAAAACAAGCACCCAGGGCGUGGUAUGGCAAGAUUGCUGAAUUUCUAACUCAAAGUGGGUAUUCAGUAACAUCUGCAGACUCCAGCUUGUUUGCUAAAGCUAAUGGAGAAAGGAUAGCUAUUGUGCUCGUGUACGUAGAUGAUCUAAUCAUCACUGGAGAUGAUGUUGAAGAAAUUUUCCGAACAAAGGAGAACUUGUCAGUUCGUUUUCAAAUGAAAGAACUUGGACAACUUAAGCAUUUCCUUGGGCUAGAGGUUGAUCAGACGAAAGAAGGGAUAUUUCUUUGUCAACAGAAAUAUGCCAAAGAUUUGUUGAAGAAGUUUGGGAUGCUAGAAUGUAAGCCGAUCUCAACACCGAUGGAACCAAAUGCCAAGAUGUGUGCACAUGAAGGCAAAGACCUGGAAGAUGCAUCGAUGUAUCGACAAUUAGUGGGUAGUCUAAUCUACUUAACCUUGACUCGACCUGACAUUUCUUAUGCAGUUGGCGUGAUGAGUCGAUACAUGCAAAAUCCGAAGAAGUCUCAUUUAGAAGCGGUUCGGCGAGUACUCAGAUAUGUGAAGAGUACAAUAGACUAUGGUCUUUUAUACAAGAAAGGUGGAAAUUGCAAACUAGUUGGCUACUGUGAUGCUGACUAUGCAGGAGAUCACGAUACUCGCAGAUCAACUACUGGGUAUAUGUUUACCCUUGGAUCUGGAACGAUUUCUUGGUGUAGCAAGAGACAACCGACUGUGUCCAUGUCAACUACGGAAGCAGAGUAUCGAGCAGCAGCAAUGGCAGCUCAAGAAAGCACGUGGCUGAUACAACUAAUGAAUGAUCUACAUCAACCACUAGAUUAUACAGUUCUGUUGUACUGUGACAACCAAUCGGCAAUUCGGCUGGCGGAGAAUCCUGUUUUUCAUGCAAGAACUAAACAUGUGGAAGUGCAUUACCACUUUGUUAGGGAAAAAGUUCUGCAAGAAGAGAUUGAGAUGAGGCAAGUCAAGACAGAUGAACAAAUUGCUGACUUGUUUACAAAAAGCUUGAGUGUUGGAAAGUUUGAACAUUUCCGUCGUCAGCUUGGCAUGAUUCAAAGAAUGGGGGCUAACAUUGAGGGGGAGUGUUGAGAAGUCAAUAUUAGCCCAAAUAAGUCCACACCUAAAUUAAUUUGAUGUCAUUGCUUACAUCAAUUUAGUUAGGUGAAUAUUAGCCCAAAUAAGUCCACACCUAAAUUAAUUUGAUGUCAUUGCUUACAUCAAUUUAGUUAGGUGAAAAUUAGGUAUUUUUCCCAUGUUUAAUUUCAAUGGUUUAAAUUAGUUUGUGGUUAUUUUAAUGAGUGGUUUAGAUUGUUU